Molecule: long non-coding RNA, 606 nt
Filed under: Brassica rapa (field mustard)
Lineage: Eukaryota; Viridiplantae; Streptophyta; Magnoliopsida; Brassicales; Brassicaceae
Description: long non-coding RNA (BRAP_LNC000907)
Source: RNAcentral
AAAGGACGCAUCGUGAACAAGUCUUGUGGUAGAUUCUAUGUUUUUUCCUAUGUUUUGUAAUUGAGAGUCAAAUAAUAUGUUACCUUAUUAAUAUGAAAACAUGUGGUUUUGUUGUAACAAAAAUACUAUUGGGAUCCUCAAUAUGUCGUUUGAAAAAAAAGGGAUCUUCGACAUAAUAUUGAGGUUCGUUCUCACUGGGAAGAGAAUCACCAAAACUCAAUCAGAAACUUUGUAAGCAAGGAGAGGAGAUCUGAAAAAAAAAAAAAAACAUAUUUGAUUGGCCUACUAGACCGGAACAUGAUGCAUGAGAUUUGGGAGGAGGAGUCACACCAAAAGAUGAACAAAACAAAUUCAAAGAAUGCUACCUCAAAUCCAUAUGGUUUAGGUACUCACCAUCAUACUUUAAGAAAAAAAUUAUACACAAAUUGCUUAUGACAUGUUUAGUAAGUUUUUAUAUUCCUUUUUUGUGUCAUCAACUUUACAUAAUCAAUUAAACACUUCGCAAACCAAAUAGGUAACUUUGUAUCCAUGUAAACAAUGUAGGACGAUUGAUUCAUAGCAAUGCGUACAAGACUAUCCAUCCUUGUCUUCUGCGUUCGAGAAAUC